RNAcentral lists this long non-coding RNA (2337 nucleotides) under Panax ginseng (ginseng). Its description in RNAcentral is "long non-coding RNA (PGIN_LNC018570)". Lineage: Eukaryota; Viridiplantae; Streptophyta; Magnoliopsida; Apiales; Araliaceae. The record is from RNAcentral.
AGAUUUUGUACUUCUCUCUACUUCACAAAAAAUAUCAAAUGAAAAUAUAUACCAAAAUGCCAAUAAAAUUUCAGUUGCCUUUUCAGAACUCGCAAAGAGUGUCAUGAGCCUAGGGUUUUAGCACUCUUCAACGCAGGAGUAACACGAUUGAAAAACCCUAACAGUGGGAGCACACGCAUAAAACCUUUUUUGCCAAAUUAGCAUUUUCACGGUCAUCAACAUGUCCGUCGCCGCCGCUAGAUCCGUCUUCCGAUCAGCCUCAGUCCGUAAUGGUGCGGCAAGAUUAGCUUCUGGAGUGAAAGCCGCUCGAUCUCCCUUUCGUAUGUCCACCAGAAGACCACUUUCACAUCGCAUCUUCAGGUAACUAAAUAAACAUUAACACAUAUACAUACACACAAGCCCAAUUAUACAUGUAAACUGACAUUUAUCUUCAUUUUCUUUUGAAGUUGUCCUGCUGAAAUGAGUUCGAUGCAACCCUUCCAUACUGCGACUGCUUCGGCAUUGAUGACUUCGAUGCUCUCUCUCUCUCGCCGUGGUUACGGUUGGCUUCCUGAAGGUAGUAAACUUUCUAAAUUUUGGCUUAAUUUCGAUUUUUAAGUCCUUGAAAUUUUUGAUGAUUUUUCUAUGGUUCAAUUGAUGUUAUUUGGGAUUGCGAAUCUAUUUGUGUUCCUAAGCUGAAAUUUUUUAGCACUUAGUUUUGUGCUUGAAUGCUGGUAUUCUAUAAGAGUAGAAAUUUUUUAAUGUACAAGUGAUUGAUAAUGUGGGGAGGACAUGGUCAACUUUCAAUCCAAUUUUGAGUUCUUUUAGUUAUUAGCUUCUUGUUUUCUAGUACUCUGAAGUGGUUAGUAUAAAUAAUUCUCCUGAACUAUUAAAAUUGGUGAAGAGACUGUGUUCAUCCAUCUAGCAUAAUUAAAACUCACUCUUACAGGAAAUCUAAAUAAUGUUUUGAAUUCUUCUUUAUUAUGUUGUUUUUUCAAGUUAUGUUUUUAGUCAAAAUACUUCUUCCUAGUCUUUGUUUCAAGUUAUUUUCAUUUCAUGGCAGCCUGAGUCCAAUAAUCAGUACCUGACUGGGAAGAAUUGUGCCUGUUCAAGAAUAUUUUAUAGAUGUAUCAAUAAAAUUGACCAUAUAAAGAGUUUUCAAAGUUACAUUAAGAAAAAUUUGGUACCCAUGAAUGUUACAUCUAAUCUUGCUAUAUAGAAAGUUUUUCAGGUUACCCCAAGAAAUCUGGUAUUAGGAUUAGUACAUCUUGUUUUGGGUAAUCACAACCAGGAGUUACUGGGUUUUUUUUUUUAAUCGCCUUCAUACUAAACUCCCAUCCUGACAACUGUUACUGUUUAUUCUUGCAAAGUUAAUAUAUACUACUAGCUGGAAGGGGCCGUACUAGAUAGUUUUCACGUCAGAGAGUACUUUAAUCAUUUCAUCUCAUGAAAUUCUUAUUCCGAUGAAUUACAGAGGAAUUAGGGAUUUCCUUUUAUGUCCUGUUUACUUCAACACUUUCCUGUACUUCAAAGUUGUAGUUUUUGCUGAAUAGGUCGCCUAACCAUUGGGUUUUGUCUUGAUUUAGGUAUCUAGCAAAAUUUUGUAGACCUUCCUUGAUGUCCUGUUUCUCCUUUCAAGUAUUUGGUAAGUUAAAAUUGCUGGAUAUUAUCUAAAACACCCUUAGAUAUUUAAGGAAUUUAAAACCUCCCCUUCAGUAACUUUUUAAUUUCUGAAACAGAGAUAUCAGGCUCAACGAAAUAACACUAUUGUAUUAUUUAUAUGUUAAUUCCUAUUCCCCCUCCCCUUUAUCCUGGAUGGACACUUUCUGUCCCUAAACCUGGUUGAGUGUCAUAUGAUGAUACCCUAUUGUUUGCUUUUGUUCUUCUGUUUCCAGCUGAAGAGUCAGUUUCCAUCCCCAUUUCCUAUUUUUCUUGUUUUAAUAAAAUAGCACAUGCUUCAUUGUUUCCUGUUGUAGGCGUUGACAAGACUAGAUGAAGAUGGAGAUUCAACUAUGGAAUGAUUUGGAUUUGUUAUGUCUUGAAGCUUUUAAAUUCUUAGGUCGCUUCUUCAAUAGUAUAGGCUCGCUGGCUAUAUUUAAAGAUUAAUAAUGAAACAUGAAUUAAUGAUGUGUAGAUUGAAAGCUUUAAUAUACAAUUGCUCUUUCGUAGAUCUUGUUAAAGGAUACAUUGGUUUAUAUGAUUCUGUUUUCACCUUUGUUUGAAUUUGUUUUGUGUCCUUUGUAUAAUUUGAUUGAUUUUUCCUAUUUUCUUCGUAUUCUGGAAUCAUCUUUGGUAGCUUUUGUAAUUGAUGGACAGACUGGCACCAUGUGCUCUGUUUUCUUUGUGUGCUUUUUCUGG